GAAGAAAACACCCACUGGCUGUUAAAUAUGACCAGCGGGUUGAACCUUCAAUCAGAAUCUACACUGCUGUUCAGGUCACUGUGGAUGAGAAAUGAUAAAAUCUUCACAUGGAGCUGAAUAUAACUACGCAACAUGCUCAGCGAGAGGUUUUAGGGGAAUUUCAGCAACAAAUGUCAACAAAAAUGUGUGAAAGUCAACUCCUAGCAUCCUCUGCAAUUACUCUGCUAAACAGAAAACGGAAGAUAAAACAGAUCCAGUGGUAGGAGACACUAGUAAGGACUCCAGAGGAACAAAAAAGCUACAUUCACCCCAAAGGUUGAGGAGAUAAAGCUGCUGGAAAGUGCUUCCAUCUGUGGUCUGCUUCUCCCUCUAGUCUGUAGAGGAACUGACACCUUACAUUCAGGCCUGGUGGUUGUUUGAAGC
Molecule: long non-coding RNA, 423 nt
Organism: Girardinichthys multiradiatus
Lineage: Eukaryota; Metazoa; Chordata; Actinopteri; Cyprinodontiformes; Goodeidae
Exons: 3
Source: RefSeq, a predicted model, not a curated record